AUACGUAGGGGGCGAGCGUUAUCCGGAAUUAUUGGGCGUAAAGCGCGCGCAGGCGGCCGAUUAAGUCAGGUGUGAAAGGCUGCGGCUCAACCGCAGAGCGGCACCUGAGACUGGUCGGCUUGAGUGCAGGAGAGGGGAGUGGAAUUCCCGGUGUAGCGGUGGAAUGCGUAGAGAUCGGGAGGAACACCAGUGGCGACGGCGGCUCUCUGGCCUGUAACUGACGCUGAGGCGCGAAAGCGGGGGGAGCAAACAGGAUUAGAUACCCUGGUAGUCCACGCCGUAAACGAUGAGUGCUAGGUGUUGGGGGGUUCCCCCCUCAGUGCCGAAGGUAACCCAUUAAGCACUCCGCCUGGGGAGUACGGCCGCAAGGCUGAA
This 375-nucleotide ribosomal RNA is filed under the name uncultured bacterium. RNAcentral describes it as "bacterial SSU rRNA". It matches the Rfam family "Bacterial small subunit ribosomal RNA", at positions 523 to 898 of the family's 1533-position model. The record is from RNAcentral.